AGAGUUUGAUCAUGGCUCAGGAUGAACGCUAGCUACAGGCUUAACACAUGCAAGUCGAGGGGUAGCAGGGUAGCAAUACCGCUGACGACCGGCGCACGGGUGAGUAACACGUAUCCAACCUUCCCAUAACUCAGGGAUAGCCUUUUCGAAAGAAAGAUUAAUACCUGAUAGUACUUUUUCAAGGCAUCUUGAGAAAGUUAAAGAUUUAUUGGUUAUGGAUGGGGAUGCGUUCCAUUAGAUAGUUGGUGAGGUAACGGCUCACCAAGUCUUCGAUGGAUAGGGGUUCUGAGAGGAAGGUCCCCAUAUUGGUACUGAGACACGGACCAAACUCCUACGGGAGGCAGCAGUGAGGAAUAUUGGUCAAUGGGCGAGAGCCUGAACCAGCCAAGUAGCGUGAAGGAUGAAGGUCCUAUGGAUUGUAAACUUCUUUUAUAGUAGAAUAAAGUGAUCCACGUGUGGAUUUUUGUAUGUAUACUAUGAAUAAGGAUCGGCUAACUCCGUGCCAGCAGCCGC
Molecule: ribosomal RNA, 513 nt
Filed under: uncultured bacterium
Lineage: Bacteria
Description: bacterial SSU rRNA
Rfam family: Bacterial small subunit ribosomal RNA
Source: RNAcentral